CCUACGGGUGGCUGCAGUGGGGAAUAUUGCACAAUGGGGGAAACCCUGAUGCAGCAACGCCGCGUGAGUGAGGAAGUAUUUCGGUAUGUAAAGCUCUAUCAGCAGGGAAUAGAAAAGAAGGUACCUGAAAGAGAAGCCACGGCUAACUACGUGCGAGCAGCCGCGGUAAUACGUAGGGGGCAAGCGUGAUCCGGAUUUACUGGGUUUAAAGGGGUCGCAGAGGGCUGCGCAAGCCAGGAGUGAAAGCCCGGGGCCCAACCCCGGGACUGCUGUUGGAACUGGGCGGCUGGAGUGCAGGAGGGGCAGGCGGAAUGCGUGGUGUAGCGGUGAAAUGCGUAGAUAUCAGGAGGAACACCGGUGGCGAAGGCGGCCUGCUGGAGUGCGACUGACGUUGAGGCCCGAAAGCGUGGGGAGCAAACAGGAUUAGAUACCCCUGUAGUC
RNAcentral lists this ribosomal RNA (441 nucleotides) under uncultured bacterium. RNAcentral describes it as "partial 16S ribosomal RNA". It matches the Rfam family "Bacterial small subunit ribosomal RNA", at positions 338 to 795 of the family's 1533-position model. The record is from RNAcentral.